Long non-coding RNA from Oncorhynchus tshawytscha (Chinook salmon), 869 nucleotides. The record is from Ensembl. NCBI's taxonomy places the organism in Eukaryota, Metazoa, Chordata, Actinopteri, Salmoniformes, Salmonidae.
ACCAAUGUAUGUACCAUAAAUCUCUAAAUGUAGUUUUAAUUUUGUGAAAAAUCAAGUGAACACAUUUAUUUUUUUAAACCUUUAUUUAACUAGGCAAGUCAGUUAAGAACAAAUUCUUAUAUUCAAUGACUGCCUAGUGGGUUAACUGCUUUGUUCAGGGGCAGAACGACAGAUUUUUACCUUGUCAGCUCGGGAAUUCGAUCUAGCAACCUUUCGGUUACUGGCCCAACACUCUAACCACUAGGCUACUUGCCGCCCCCUCUAACCACAAGGCUACCUGUCGUCGCCCCCUCUCUAACCACUAGGCUACCUGCCUGCCGCCCCUACAGUCAUAUGCCCCUACAGUCCUUGUAGGCUUACUACAUGUUAUUUAUCUGAUAUACUAAAUGCCUGUGGAGAUUUUGGUGAAACGCUACCAUGUUCACCAAGAAUAACACCCUACUGAAGGUUUAGAAGCCCUGAGGUCUGAAGGUUAAGCCUUGAAGGUUUAGAAGCCCCGAGGGUUUAGAAGCCCUGAGGUCUGAAUACACAUUUUUCAUGAACAAUAAACUGAAGUACUCUUGACUGAAAGAGCUAUGUUCUGUGUGUGUGUAUGUAUGUAUACACACCAGCCCUUACUAUGCCAGUCCUCAUUACCCACAGGGCUCAAUUAACACUUAAGCCUGCUAACAGCCUGCGAAGCUGUAAAAUAACAAAAUGGAAAACAGCUAUAAAUUCACCUCCUAAUUGUCUUGCCUUCUACUUGACUCCAUUCGCUUCAUUGGACUCCUAAAAUAAAUGUAAGAUUCUGUGCCUUGUGGCAGAAAAACAUCAAGCCAUGGUCCCAAUAAUCUCUCCUUCCUCCUCAUGUGUUCCCUCGUUCACUACUC